CCUUCGAUAGCUCAGUUGGUAGAGCGGAGGACUGUAGAGGUUGAAUACGGAUAUCCUUAGGUCGCUGGUUCGAAUCCGGCUCGAAGGA
Transfer RNA from Astyanax mexicanus (Mexican tetra), 88 nucleotides. It matches the Rfam family "tRNA". From Rfam's summary of the family: Transfer RNA (tRNA) molecules are approximately 80 nucleotides in length. Their secondary structure includes four short double-helical elements and three loops (D, anti-codon, and T loops). Lineage: Eukaryota; Metazoa; Chordata; Actinopteri; Characiformes; Acestrorhamphidae. The record is from Rfam.